CAGCACCUCAAGUGGUCAGGAUGAUUAUUGGGCCUAAAGCAUCCGUAGCCGGCUCUGUAAGUUUUCGGUUAAAUCUGUACGCUCAACGUACAGGCUGCCGGGAAUACUGCAGAGCUAGGGAGUGGGAGAGGUAGACGGUACUCGGUAGGAAGGGGUAAAAUCCUUUGAUCUAUUGAUGACCACCUGUGGCGAAGGCGGUCUACCAGAACACGUCCGACGGUGAGGGAUGAAAGCUGGGGGUGCAAACCGGAUUAGAUACCCGAGUAGUCC
RNAcentral lists this ribosomal RNA (270 nucleotides) under uncultured archaeon. Its description in RNAcentral is "partial 16S ribosomal RNA". It matches the Rfam family "Archaeal small subunit ribosomal RNA", at positions 477 to 747 of the family's 1478-position model. The record is from RNAcentral.